This 258-nucleotide ribosomal RNA is filed under the name uncultured bacterium. RNAcentral's name for it is "partial 16S ribosomal RNA". It matches the Rfam family "Bacterial small subunit ribosomal RNA", at positions 96 to 354 of the family's 1533-position model. The record is from RNAcentral.
UGGCGGACGGGUGAGUAACGCGUGGAUAACCUGCCGUAUACUGGGGGAUAACACUUAGAAAUAGGUGCUAAUACCGCAUAAGCGCACAGUCUCGCAUGAGACGGUGUGAAAAACUCCGGUGGUAUACGAUGGAUCCGCGUCUGAUUAGCUUGUUGGCGGGGUAACAGCCCACCAAGGCGACGAUCAGUAGCCGGCCUGAGAGGGUGAACGGCCACAUUGGGACUGAGACACGGCCCAAACUCCUACGGGAGGCAGCAG